RNAcentral lists this ribosomal RNA (253 nucleotides) under uncultured bacterium. Its description in RNAcentral is "partial 16S ribosomal RNA". It matches the Rfam family "Bacterial small subunit ribosomal RNA", at positions 524 to 776 of the family's 1533-position model. The record is from RNAcentral.
UACGUAGGGUGCGAGCGUUGUCCGGAAUUAUUGGGCGUAAAGAGCUCGUAGGCGGUUUGUCGCGUCUGCUGUGGAAACUGGAGGCUCAACCUCCAGCCUGCAGUGGGUACGGGCAGACUAGAGUGCGGUAGGGGAGAUUGGAAUUCCUGGUGUAGCGGUGGAAUGCGCAGAUAUCAGGAGGAACACCGAUGGCGAAGGCAGAUCUCUGGGCCGUAACUGACGCUGAGGAGCGAAAGCAUGGGGAGCGAACAGG